GGGUCAGUAGGUUGGUCGUGCCACCGGUACGUACUGGUCUCACUGAUUCCUCCUUCCUGAAGAACCGUAAUGCCAUUAAUUGGGUGUUGCCGGGAAACAGGACUGUUACUUUGAAAAAAUUAGAGUGUUUAAAGCAAGCUAACGCUUGAAUACAUUAGCAUGGAAUAAUGAAAGAGGACGAUCGAUCAUAUUUUGUUGGUUUCUAGGAUUGACGUA
RNAcentral lists this ribosomal RNA (216 nucleotides) under Glomeromycotina sp. RNAcentral describes it as "partial small subunit ribosomal RNA". The stretch from base 87 to 216 matches the Rfam family "Eukaryotic small subunit ribosomal RNA", at positions 733 to 864 of the family's 1831-position model. The record is from RNAcentral. Lineage: Eukaryota; Fungi; Glomeromycota.